RNAcentral lists this ribosomal RNA (301 nucleotides) under uncultured bacterium. Its description in RNAcentral is "partial 16S ribosomal RNA". It matches the Rfam family "Bacterial small subunit ribosomal RNA", at positions 509 to 809 of the family's 1533-position model. The record is from RNAcentral.
CAGUCGCCACGGUAAUACGUAGGUGGCAAGCGUUGUCCGGAAUUAUUGGGCGUAAAGGGCUCGCAGGCGGUUUCUUAAGUUUGAUGUGAAAGCCCCCGGCUCAACCGGGGAGGGUCAUUGGAAACUGGGAAACUUGAGUGCAGAAGAGGAGAGUGGAAUUCCACGUGUAGCGGUGAAAUGCGUAGAGAUGUGGAGGAACACCAGUGGCGAAGGCGACUCUCUGGUCUGUAACUGACGCUGAGGAGUGAAAGCGUGGGGAGCGAACAGGAUUAGAUACCCCUGUAGUCCCUGUCUCUUAUAA